RNAcentral lists this transfer RNA (64 nucleotides) under Pseudovates peruviana. RNAcentral's name for it is "tRNA-Cys". Lineage: Eukaryota; Metazoa; Arthropoda; Insecta; Mantodea; Mantidae. The record is from RNAcentral.
GGUCUUAUAUUCAUAAUUAUGAUAUUAGAAUGCAAUUCUAAUGGUGUAUAUAAUACUAAGACUU